GACGAACGCUGGCGGCGUGCUUAACACAUGCCAGUCGAACGGAAAGGCCUGCUUUCCCUUGUGGAUUGCGGGUACUCGAGUGGCGAACGGGUGAGUAACACGUGAGUGAUCUGCCCCCAACUUGGGUAUAAGCCUGGGAAACUGGGUCUAAUUCCCGAUAGGACUGCAGGGUGGUGCCUGUGGUGGAAAACGAUUUUCUAGUGGUUGGGGAUGAGCUCGCGGCCUAUCAGCUUGUUGGUGGGGUAAUGGCCUACCAAGGCGGGGACGGGUAGCCGGCCUGAGGGGGUGGACGGCCACAUUGGUACUGAGAUACGGCCCAGACUCCUACGGGAGGCAGCAGUGGGGAAGAUUGGACAAUGGGCGGAAGCCUGAUGCAGCGACGCCGCGUGGGGGAUGACGGCCUUCGGGUUGUAAACUCCUUUCGACCGCGAGGAAGCCACCUGGUUGGAAGGGUGGUGACGGUAGUGGUAGAAGAAGCACCGGCUAACUACGUG
RNAcentral lists this ribosomal RNA (494 nucleotides) under uncultured bacterium. Its description in RNAcentral is "partial 16S ribosomal RNA". It matches the Rfam family "Bacterial small subunit ribosomal RNA", at positions 28 to 507 of the family's 1533-position model. The record is from RNAcentral.